This 253-nucleotide ribosomal RNA is filed under the name uncultured bacterium. RNAcentral's name for it is "partial 16S ribosomal RNA". It matches the Rfam family "Bacterial small subunit ribosomal RNA", at positions 524 to 776 of the family's 1533-position model. The record is from RNAcentral.
UACGUAGGGGGCAAGCGUUGUCCGGAUUUAUUGGGCGUAAAGAGCGUGUAGGCGGCCAGGUAGGUCAGCUGUGAAAACUCGAGGCUCAACCUCGAGACGCCGGUUGAAACCAUCUGGCUAGAGUCCGGAAGAGGAGAGUGGAAUUCCUGGUGUAGAGGUGAAAUUCGUAGAUAUCAGGAGGAACACCUGUGGUGUAGACAGCUUACUGGACCAUUUCUGACGCUGAGACACGAAAGCGUGGGUAGCAAACAGG